Molecule: transfer RNA, 81 nt
Filed under: Actinoplanes teichomyceticus
Lineage: Bacteria; Bacillati; Actinomycetota; Actinomycetes; Micromonosporales; Micromonosporaceae
Description: tRNA-Pro
Source: RNAcentral
GCCGAGGUGGUCGACGCGGACACGCUGGCCGCGCUGGGGGAGCGGGCGAAGGCGGCGCCGUUCGAGGCGGUCCUGGACGCC